This 407-nucleotide ribosomal RNA is filed under the name uncultured prokaryote. RNAcentral's name for it is "bacterial SSU rRNA". It matches the Rfam family "Bacterial small subunit ribosomal RNA", at positions 355 to 776 of the family's 1533-position model. RNAcentral also lists the same sequence under 1 other name. The record is from RNAcentral.
UGGGGAAUAUUGGGCAAUGGAGGAAACUCUUACCCAGCAAUGCCGCGUGACUGAAGAAGGUCUUCGGAUUGUAAAGGUCUUUGAUUAGGGACGAAUAAAUGACGGUACCUAAAGAACAAGCCCCGGCUAACUACGUGCCAGCAGCCGCGGUAAUACGUAGGGGGCAAGCGUUGUCCGGAAUGACUGGGCGUAAAGGGUGUGUAGGUGGUUUAUUAAGUUAGAAGUGUAAUACCCAGGGCUCAACCCGGGUGCUGCUUCUAAAACUGAUGAACUUGAGUGCAGGAGAGGAAAGUGGAAUUCCUAGUGUAGCGGUGGAAUGCGUAGAUAUUAGGAGGAACACCAGUGGCGAAGGCGGCUUUCUGGACUAUAACUGACACUGAGGCACGAAAGCGUGGGGAGCAAACAGG